CUCUUUUGGGGGGAUGGCACAUAGACACAAGAAGCCUGUGUAGACUUUGGAACAAGGGAAGAUGUUAUCUAGGAGGGUGAAGAGCUGGAGGGCUUUGCGAGUUCAUUUGAGCACAGGAGCCCAGCUGAUCCAAAAUUCUAAGAAAGAGAUACCUAAUGUGUACAUAUAUCAUUUCCUUUGUAAUCAGAAUUUAAAACAAAAACGACAACCACGAUUUCAGAAGCUUCAGUAAUGAUUCACCCAGUAUGAUGAUUCGAUAAAUAGCCUAUAUUUUUCUUCUCUCCAUGGCCAAAGAUAUUCUCAUGGUUUCUAUACACUAAUUUAGAGACUCUAUAUUUUGUAAUUUACCGCUGUAGACCAAACCCAAGGC
RNAcentral lists this long non-coding RNA (370 nucleotides) under Fukomys damarensis (Damara mole-rat). RNAcentral's name for it is "lncRNA (ENSFDAG00000027318.1)". The record is from RNAcentral. Lineage: Eukaryota; Metazoa; Chordata; Mammalia; Rodentia; Bathyergidae.